UAUCUCUGUAGAGUCUGCAUAUCAAUAAGCGGAGGAAAAGAAACUAACAAGGAUUCCCUUAGUAACGGCGAGUGAAGCGGGAAGAGCUCAAAUUUGAAAUCUUCAAGGUUCUACCUUGACGAAUUGUAGUUUAAAGAAGUGUUUUCUGUUAGAUGAGUAGCAAAGGUUCCUUGGAAUGGGACAUCAUAGAGGGUGAGAAUCCCGUAUUUGGUUAUUCAUUCUAGCUUUGUGAUACACUUUCAAAGAGUCGGAUUGUUUGGGAAUGCAGUCCGAAAUGGGUGGUAAAUUUCAUCUAAAGCUAAAUAUUGGCGAGAGACCGAUAGCGAACAAGUACCGUGAGGGAAAGAUGAAAAGAACUUUGAAAAGAGAGUUAAACAGUACGUGAAAUUGUCAAAAGGGAAGCGUUUGACACCAGUGUUGUUUUUCCGAAAAUCAAUUACGAAUGGCUUGAUUCUGUGUUGUAUUGACCUUAUCAGCUUUCUUCACUUUUUUCGAGUCUUUCUUAAUGCACUUUUCGGUUAACAAGUCAACAUCAAUUUCUUUUGUUGUAAAAGAGUAUUCGGAAGGUGGCUUUCUUUUCGGAGAAAGUGUUUAUAGCCCUAUACUUCUACAAUCGGAGAGAUUGAGGUCUGCAGCGUAGAUCCUUCGGGGUUAGAUACACUUGUGCUAAGUUGUAGCUUUUCAUAGACAACUUGUUGACUAUGUUUAGUCAUGCGGCUUACUCGCUUGUGCUAUUUUACCUACGCUUAGGAUGUUGACGAGACUGUCGAUCUC
This 774-nucleotide ribosomal RNA is filed under the name uncultured Neocallimastigales. RNAcentral describes it as "partial large subunit ribosomal RNA". It matches the Rfam family "Eukaryotic large subunit ribosomal RNA", at positions 24 to 647 of the family's 3401-position model. Lineage: Eukaryota; Fungi; Neocallimastigomycota; Neocallimastigomycetes; Neocallimastigales. The record is from RNAcentral.